This 216-nucleotide ribosomal RNA is filed under the name Glomeromycotina sp. Its description in RNAcentral is "partial small subunit ribosomal RNA". The stretch from base 40 to 216 matches the Rfam family "Eukaryotic small subunit ribosomal RNA", at positions 686 to 864 of the family's 1831-position model. The record is from RNAcentral. Lineage: Eukaryota; Fungi; Glomeromycota.
GGGUCAGUAGGUUGGUCGUGCCACCGGUACGUACUGGUCUCACUGAUUCCUCCUUCCUGAAGAACCGUAAUGCCAUUAAUUUGGUGUUGCGGGGAAACAGGUCUGUUACUUUGAAAAGAUUAGAGUGUUUAAAGCAAGCUAACGCUUGAAUACAUUAGCAUGGAAUAAUGAAAUAGGACGAUCGAUCCUAUUUUGUUGGUUUCUAGGAUUGACGUA